Molecule: ribosomal RNA, 1351 nt
Filed under: uncultured bacterium
Lineage: Bacteria
Description: bacterial SSU rRNA
Rfam family: Bacterial small subunit ribosomal RNA
Source: RNAcentral
AGCAUUAGUAAUAGUGCUUAGCGGCGGACGGGUGAGUAACACGUGGGUAACCUGCCUCAUGCAGGGGGAUAGCCAACCGAAAGGUUGAUUAAUACCGCAUAACCCAGUGAGUAUGCAUAUACUUAUUGGCAAAGGAGAAAUCCGGCAUGAGAUGGACCCGCGGCCCAUUAGCUAGUUGGUGAGAUAACGGCCCACCAAGGCGACGAUGGGUAGCCGAUCUGAGAGGAUGAACGGCCACAUUGGAACUGAGACACGGUCCAGACUCCUACGGGAGGCAGCAGUGGGGAAUAUUGCGCAAUGGGGGAAACCCUGACGCAGCAACGCCGCGUGAGCGAUGAAGGCCUUCGGGUCGUAAAGCUCUGUCUUUAGGGACGAUAAUGACGGUACCUAAGGAGGAAGCCACGGCUAACUACGUGCCAGCAGCCGCGGUAAUACGUAGGUGGCGAGCGUUGUCCGGAAUUACUGGGCGUAAAGGAUGCGUAGGCGGAAUCUUAAGUCAGAUGUGAAAUCCCCGGGCUCAACCCGGGAAUAGCAUUUGAAACUGGGGUUCUAGAGUGCAGGAGAGGAAAGCGGAAUUCCUAGUGUAGCGGUGAAAUGCGUAGAUAUUAGGAAGAACACCAGUGGCGAAGGCGGCUUUCUGGACUGUAACUGACGCUGAGGCAUGAAAGCGUGGGGAGCAAACAGGAUUAGAUACCCUGGUAGUCCACGCUGUAAACGAUGAGUGCUAGGUGUAGGGGAUUUCGACAUCCUCUGUGCCGCAGCAAACGCAAUAAGCACUCCGCCUGGGGAGUACGGUCGCAAGACUAAAACUCAAAGGAAUUGACGGGGGCCCGCACAAGCAGCGGAGCAUGUGGUUUAAUUCGAAGCAACGCGAAGAACCUUACCAGGACUUGACAUCUACCUAAUACUGCAGAGAUGCGGUAGUGCCUUUCGGGGAAAGGUAAGACAGGUGGUGCAUGGUUGUCGUCAGCUCGUGUCGUGAGAUGUUGGGUUAAGUCCCGCAACGAGCGCAACCCUUGUCAUUAGUUGCUAACAUUAAGUUGAGCACUCUAAUGAGACUGCCGGGGACAACUCGGAGGAAGGUGGGGAUGACGUCAAAUCAUCAUGCCCCUUAUGUCCUGGGCUACACACGUGCUACAAUGGGUAGAACAAUAAGAAGCAAGAUGGCAACAUGGAGCAAAUCUUAAAAACUAUUCCCAGUUCGGAUUGAGGGCUGCAACCCGCCCUCAUGAAGCCGGAGUUGCUAGUAAUCGCGAAUCAGCAUGUCGCGGUGAAUACGUUCCCGGGCCUUGUACACACCGCCCGUCACACCAUGAGAGUCUGCAACACCCGAAGCCUGUGAGUUAACUUA